CCUUCCUGUCACAAACGCGAUCUUCCCCUUUACCCUUUCUACAAUCCCUAAUCUCCUGAAACCUUUGCUCUUCUUUUCUCUGUCGAUCAUGAAACCUUUCCUAUUCCUUUUCUCUGUUCCGUUUCGCGAUCUGAACGACGACCAUUCAAGACAGCCUUCACUUCUUUUCUCUCAUUUAUGGACUCUCUUAUAUAUGUUUUGUCCCUCUGAUUUUUCCACAUAUAACACAAAAUCACGGCUUUAUUCCGAUCCAAACUAAAUUCUCUCUACCGCACUGCAAUGAGUUCCAACGGAAAGUCCAUGGUACCUGGUGCCUCCAAGUCGGAGAAACCAAAGGGCGCUGCCGCUAACUCUUUUCCGGACACGACCAAGCCCAUCGCUGCACCCUCUGUCUCUUCAGACCUCUCCAUUGGCGCUCCCCCCCCCCUCUCGAAGAAAGACAAAGUCGAUUCGUCGGACUCCUCUUCCAGACUGACGAAACCCAGCUCCAAAACCGGUGUUGCUUCCGGUGUCUCGAUCGGCCGUCCUAAUCCGAAGACAUCUACUGAUGAUGGUAUCGUGUUGUAAUUUGGACAUUCGAGUUUUAGAUGAAAAAUGUUUGCAGGUCUCAAUACAAAGACAGCCAGACAAUGUGGAUCUCCAAAGCUAAUGAGGGCUCCUUGAUUGUGUUAUAGUCUACUGGAAGCUCAGUUGAUUAUAUUAGUUGCUUUGAAGAUUGCAGGACGCCUUCAUGAAACCGCUCUAGAUGCCGCCACUAAAGGGAACCGAUACAUCCACUCUUGCCUCAGGUACUUCCAUAAUGAUCUCAAUGGAGAGAAAUAAAUACCAUGCUUAGGUUAUCUAGCGGAGAUAACAAUAAGGAAGACAAGCGUUAGGAUCACAAGCCAAAGAUCCAAAUCUGAGUCGAUACUAGGUCAGAGAUCCAACCAGAUUCAGACAAGGCCAGCCAGAGUUUGGUUUUUGGCUCAUGCUUGGAGGCAGCGCACAGAGGAACAACGAAAAUAAUUCUUUUACUGGACACUAGACAACAUUCAAGAUUUUUUUCGACAAAAAGGAAUGUGUAGAGUAAGUGAGCGAAUCUCAAAUAUGUCGAAGAGAUUUUCAAUGCAACCAUCGUGAAAGAUGUUGUGGUUUACAAUGCAAUGGCUGAGGUUGUAAGCCGAUCAGUGAAACUAUAUUUUGUGUGGGGAAUAAUAGAAUAAAAGGAAAUAUUUACAAAAAGUGAUGAUUAAUAAAUACAGCGAGCUCGAAACAUAUAUAUAGUUCUGUGAAACCAACAAGUUAUUAAAAUGUUUGAUGAUU
Molecule: RNA transcript, 1302 nt
Organism: Raphanus sativus (radish)
Lineage: Eukaryota; Viridiplantae; Streptophyta; Magnoliopsida; Brassicales; Brassicaceae
Exons: 9
Source: RefSeq, a predicted model, not a curated record